GGGGCUGUAGCUCAGUUGGGAGAGCGCUUCAAUGGCAUUGAAGAGGUCAUCGGUUCGAUCCCGUUCAGCUCCA
This 73-nucleotide transfer RNA is filed under the name Fidelibacterota bacterium. RNAcentral's name for it is "tRNA-Ala". It matches the Rfam family "tRNA". From Rfam's summary of the family: Transfer RNA (tRNA) molecules are approximately 80 nucleotides in length. Their secondary structure includes four short double-helical elements and three loops (D, anti-codon, and T loops). Further hydrogen bonds mediate the characteristic L-shaped molecular structure. tRNAs have two regions of fundamental functional importance: the anti-codon, which is responsible for specific mRNA codon recognition, and the 3' end, to which the tRNAs corresponding amino acid is attached (by aminoacyl-tRNA synthetases). tRNAs cope with the degeneracy of the genetic code in two manners: having more than one tRNA (with a specific anti-codon) for a particular amino acid; and 'wobble' base-pairing, i.e. permitting non-standard base-pairing at the 3rd anti-codon position. The record is from RNAcentral. Lineage: Bacteria; Pseudomonadati; Fidelibacterota.